CCCUUAGACGUUCUGGGCCGCACGCGCGCUACACUGACCAGUGCAACAAGCAUCCGUCCUUGGCCGACAGGCCCGGGCAAUCUUUGAACGCUGGUCGUGAUGGGGAUAGACUUUUGCAAUUUUUGGUCUUCAACGAGGAAUUCCUAGUAAACGCAAGUCAUCAACUUGCAUUGAUUACGUCCCAGCCCUUUGUACACACCGCCCGUCGCACCUACCGAUUGAAUGGUCCGGUGAAGCCUCCGGAUUGGCGCGCACCUCGGUGCCGCCGAGAAGUUGGCUAAACCUUACCAUUUAGAGGAAGGUGAAGUCGUAACA
Molecule: ribosomal RNA, 315 nt
Filed under: uncultured eukaryote
Lineage: Eukaryota
Description: partial 18S ribosomal RNA
Rfam family: Eukaryotic small subunit ribosomal RNA
Source: RNAcentral